UACGUAGGUCCCGAGCGUUGUCCGGAUUUAUUGGGCGUAAAGCGAGCGCAGGUGGUUUAUUAAGUCUGGUGUAAAAGGCAGUGGCUCAACCAUUGUAUGCAUCGGAAACUGGUAGACUUGAGUGCAGGAGAGGAGAGUGGAAUUCCAUGUGUAGCGGUGAAAUGCGUAGAUAUAUGGAGGAACACCGGUGGCGAAAGCGGCUCUCUGGCCUGUAACUGACACUGAGGCUCGAAAGCGUGGGGAGCAAACAGG
This 252-nucleotide ribosomal RNA is filed under the name uncultured bacterium. RNAcentral describes it as "partial 16S ribosomal RNA". It matches the Rfam family "Bacterial small subunit ribosomal RNA", at positions 524 to 776 of the family's 1533-position model. The record is from RNAcentral.